This 95-nucleotide small nuclear RNA is filed under the name Melitaea cinxia (Glanville fritillary). Lineage: Eukaryota; Metazoa; Arthropoda; Insecta; Lepidoptera; Nymphalidae. The record is from RNAcentral.
GAAAUUGAUUCCGAUUUUAAUCAUUAAUUAUUGAUAGAUUAGCAUGGCCCCUGCGCAAGGAUGACACGCAAAAUCGUAAAGUAUUCCACAUUUUU